Molecule: transfer RNA, 62 nt
Filed under: Cordylochernes scorpioides
Lineage: Eukaryota; Metazoa; Arthropoda; Arachnida; Pseudoscorpiones; Chernetidae
Description: tRNA-Gly
Source: RNAcentral
UGCAUCGGCCGUGAAUCGAACCCGCGUGGCAGGCGAGUAUUUUACCACUGAACUACCGAUGC